RNAcentral lists this ribosomal RNA (494 nucleotides) under uncultured Enterobacterales bacterium. Its description in RNAcentral is "bacterial SSU rRNA". It matches the Rfam family "Bacterial small subunit ribosomal RNA", at positions 40 to 523 of the family's 1533-position model. The record is from RNAcentral. Lineage: Bacteria; Pseudomonadati; Pseudomonadota; Gammaproteobacteria; Enterobacterales.
CGGCAGGCCUAACACAUGCAAGUCGAACGGUAGCACAGAGGAGCUUGCUCCUUGGGUGACGAGUGGCGGACGGGUGAGUAAUGUCUGGGAAACUGCCCGAUGGAGGGGGAUAACUACUGGAAACGGUAGCUAAUACCGCAUAACGUCGCAAGACCAAAGAGGGGGACCUUCGGGCCUCUUGCCAUCGGAUGUGCCCAGAUGGGAUUAGCUAGUAGGUGGGGUAACGGCUCACCUAGGCGACGAUCCCUAGCUGGUCUGAGAGGAUGACCAGCCACACUGGAACUGAGACACGGUCCAGACUCCUACGGGAGGCAGCAGUGGGGAAUAUUGCACAAUGGGCGCAAGCCUGAUGCAGCCAUGCCGCGUGUAUGAAGAAGGCCUUCGGGUUGUAAAGUACUUUCAGCGAGGAGGAAGGCAUUAAGAUUAAUAACCUUAGUGAUUGACGUUACUCGCAGAAGAAGCACCGGCUAACUCCGUGCCAGCAGCCGCGGUAA